GGGAGGAUGGCUGAGUGGUUUAAAGCGAUGCUUUGCUAAGGCGUUUGUCUAUAUGGCAACGUGGGUUCGAAUCCCACUCCUUCUG
RNAcentral lists this transfer RNA (85 nucleotides) under Sphingobacteriales bacterium. RNAcentral's name for it is "tRNA-Ser". It matches the Rfam family "tRNA". From Rfam's summary of the family: Transfer RNA (tRNA) molecules are approximately 80 nucleotides in length. Their secondary structure includes four short double-helical elements and three loops (D, anti-codon, and T loops). Further hydrogen bonds mediate the characteristic L-shaped molecular structure. tRNAs have two regions of fundamental functional importance: the anti-codon, which is responsible for specific mRNA codon recognition, and the 3' end, to which the tRNAs corresponding amino acid is attached (by aminoacyl-tRNA synthetases). tRNAs cope with the degeneracy of the genetic code in two manners: having more than one tRNA (with a specific anti-codon) for a particular amino acid; and 'wobble' base-pairing, i.e. permitting non-standard base-pairing at the 3rd anti-codon position. Lineage: Bacteria; Pseudomonadati; Bacteroidota; Sphingobacteriia; Sphingobacteriales. The record is from RNAcentral.